RNAcentral lists this transfer RNA (89 nucleotides) under Tetragenococcus halophilus. Its description in RNAcentral is "tRNA-Ser". It matches the Rfam family "tRNA". From Rfam's summary of the family: Transfer RNA (tRNA) molecules are approximately 80 nucleotides in length. Their secondary structure includes four short double-helical elements and three loops (D, anti-codon, and T loops). Further hydrogen bonds mediate the characteristic L-shaped molecular structure. tRNAs have two regions of fundamental functional importance: the anti-codon, which is responsible for specific mRNA codon recognition, and the 3' end, to which the tRNAs corresponding amino acid is attached (by aminoacyl-tRNA synthetases). tRNAs cope with the degeneracy of the genetic code in two manners: having more than one tRNA (with a specific anti-codon) for a particular amino acid; and 'wobble' base-pairing, i.e. permitting non-standard base-pairing at the 3rd anti-codon position. Lineage: Bacteria; Bacillati; Bacillota; Bacilli; Lactobacillales; Enterococcaceae. The record is from RNAcentral.
GGAGAGUUGGCAGAGCGGUAAUGCACUGGACUCGAAAUCCAGCGAGCCGUACAAAAGCGGUGCACGGGUUCAAAUCCCGUACUCUCCUC